This 75-nucleotide transfer RNA is filed under the name Actinomycetes bacterium. RNAcentral describes it as "Actinobacteria bacterium tRNA-Pro". It matches the Rfam family "tRNA". Rfam says of the family: Transfer RNA (tRNA) molecules are approximately 80 nucleotides in length. The record is from RNAcentral. Lineage: Bacteria; Bacillati; Actinomycetota; Actinomycetes. RNAcentral also lists the same sequence under 2 other names.
CGGGGCGUAGCUCAGCCUGGCUAGAGCGCUGGCUUUGGGGGCCAGAAGUCGCCGGUUCGAAUCCGGCCGCCCCGA